UACAGAGGUCCCAAGCGUUGUUCGGAUUCACUGGGCGUAAAGGGUGCGUAGGUGGCUGGGUCAGUCUGAUGUGAAAUCUCCGAGCUUAACUCGGAAACUGCAUUGGAUACUGCUCGGCUUGAGGGUUGGAGGGAGGACUGGAAUACUUGGUGUAGCAGUGAAAUGCGUAGAUAUCAAGUGGAACACCAGUGGCGAAGGCGAGUCCUUGGACAACUCCUGACACUGAGGCACGAAAGCUAGGGGAGCAAACAGG
Molecule: ribosomal RNA, 253 nt
Filed under: uncultured bacterium
Lineage: Bacteria
Description: partial 16S ribosomal RNA
Rfam family: Bacterial small subunit ribosomal RNA
Source: RNAcentral